Molecule: ribosomal RNA, 138 nt
Filed under: uncultured bacterium
Lineage: Bacteria
Description: partial 16S ribosomal RNA
Rfam family: Bacterial small subunit ribosomal RNA
Source: RNAcentral
UGGGGAAUAUUGCACAAUGGGGGAAACCCUGAUGCAGCGACGCCGCGUGAAGGAAGAAGUAUCUCGGUAUGUAAACUUCUAUCAGCAGGGAAGAUAGUGACGGUACCUGACUAAGAAGCCCCGGCUAACUACGUGCCU